UACGUAGGGGGCUAGCGUUGUUCGGAUUUAUUGGGCGUAAAGAGCGUGUAGGCGGCCAGGUAGGUCUGCUGUGAAAACUCGAGGCUUAACCUCGAGAUGUCGGCGGAAACCAUCUGGCUAGAGUCCGGAAGAGGAGAAUGGAAUUCCCGGUGUAGCGGUGAAAUGCGCAGAUAUCGGGAAGAACACCCGUGGCGAAGGCGGUUCUCUGGGACGGUACUGACGCUGAGACGGGAAAGCGUGGGGAGCGA
This 248-nucleotide ribosomal RNA is filed under the name uncultured bacterium. Its description in RNAcentral is "partial 16S ribosomal RNA". It matches the Rfam family "Bacterial small subunit ribosomal RNA", at positions 524 to 771 of the family's 1533-position model. The record is from RNAcentral.